GACGCACGCUGGCGGCGUGCCUAAUACAUGCACGUUGAGCGCUGAAGGUUGGUACUUGUACCAACUGGAUGAGCAGCGCACGGGUGAGUAACGCGUGGGGAAUCUGCCUUUGAGCGGGGGACAACAUUUGGAAACGAAUGCUAAUACCGCAUAAAAACUUUAAACACAAGUUUUAAGUUUGAAAGAUGCAAUUGCAUCACUCAAAGAUGAUCCCGCGUUGUAUUAGCUAGUUGGUGAGGUAAAGGCUCACCAAGGCGAUGAUACAUAGCCGACCUGAGAGGGUGAUCGGCCACAUUGGGACUGAGACACGGCCCAAACUCCUACGGGAGGCAGCAGUAGGGAAUCUUCGGUAAUGGACGAAAGUCUGACCGAGCAACGCCGCGUGAGUGAAGAAGGUUUUCGGAUCGUAAAACUCUGUUGGUAGAGAAGAACGUUGGUGAGAGUGGAAAGCUCAUCAAGUGACGGUAACUACCCAGAAAGGGACGGCUAACUACGU
RNAcentral lists this ribosomal RNA (496 nucleotides) under uncultured bacterium. RNAcentral's name for it is "partial 16S ribosomal RNA". It matches the Rfam family "Bacterial small subunit ribosomal RNA", at positions 28 to 506 of the family's 1533-position model. The record is from RNAcentral.